AUACCUACCUGGCAGGAGAGAUGCCAUGAUUCCUGAGAUUAUUUUCCCAGGGCAAGCCUUAUCCAUUGCAGGUCAGAUGUACUGACCCCUGAGAUUCCUUCAAAUCUGGAAAAUUCUACUGCACAAUCUGUGGUAGUACGGGAACUGUGUUCACGCUCUCCUCUA
Aotus nancymaae (Ma's night monkey) is the source of this 165-nucleotide small nuclear RNA. Its record names the gene U1. It matches the Rfam family "U1 spliceosomal RNA". Rfam says of the family: U1 is a small nuclear RNA (snRNA) component of the spliceosome (involved in pre-mRNA splicing). The record is from Ensembl. Lineage: Eukaryota; Metazoa; Chordata; Mammalia; Primates; Aotidae.